RNAcentral lists this ribosomal RNA (586 nucleotides) under Talaromyces purpureogenus. Its description in RNAcentral is "partial large subunit ribosomal RNA". It matches the Rfam family "Eukaryotic large subunit ribosomal RNA", at positions 47 to 647 of the family's 3401-position model. The record is from RNAcentral. Lineage: Eukaryota; Fungi; Ascomycota; Eurotiomycetes; Eurotiales; Trichocomaceae.
UAAGCGGAGGAAAAGAAACCAACCGGGAUUGCCUCAGUAACGGCGAGUGAAGCGGCAAGAGCUCAAAUUUGAAAUCUGGCCCCUUUGGGGUCCGAGUUGUAAUUUGCAGAGGAUGCUUCGGGUGCGGUCCCCGUCUAAGUGCCCUGGAACGGGCCGUCAUAGAGGGUGAGAAUCCCGUCUGGGAUGGGCGGCCGUGCCCGUGUGAAGCUCCUUCGACGAGUCGAGUUGUUUGGGAAUGCAGCUCUAAGUGGGUGGUAAAUUUCAUCUAAAGCUAAAUACUGGCCGGAGACCGAUAGCGCACAAGUAGAGUGAUCGAAAGAUGAAAAGCACUUUGAAAAGAGAGUUAAACAGCACGUGAAAUUGUUGAAAGGGAAGCGUUGUCCACCAGACUCGCCCGGGGGGGCUCAGCCGGCACGUGUGCCGGUGUACUCCUCUCCGGGCGGGCCAGCAUCGGUUUGGGCGGUUGGUGAAAGGCCCCGGGAAUGUAACACCCUCCGGGGUGCCUUAUAGCCCGGGGGUGCCAUGCGGCCAGCCUGGACCGAGGCCCGCGCUUCGGCGAGGAUGCUGGCGUAAUGGUGGUCAACGG